UACGGAGGGGGCGAGCGUUAUUCGGAAUUAUUGGGCGUAAAGGGCUCGUAGGUGGCCAACUAAGUCAGACGUGAAAUCCCUCGGCUUAACCGGGGAACUGCGUCUGAUACUGGAUGGCUUGAGUUCGGGAGAGGGAUGCGGAAUUCCAGGUGUAGCGGUGAAAUGCGUAGAUAUCUGGAGGAACACCGGUGGCGAAGGCGGCAUCCUGGACCGACACUGACACUGAGGAGCGAAAGCCAGGGGAGCAAACGGG
RNAcentral lists this ribosomal RNA (253 nucleotides) under uncultured bacterium. RNAcentral describes it as "partial 16S ribosomal RNA". It matches the Rfam family "Bacterial small subunit ribosomal RNA", at positions 524 to 776 of the family's 1533-position model. The record is from RNAcentral.